AACGAACGCUGGCGGCAGGCCUAACACAUGCAAGUCGAACGUGAAGCAGGAGCUUGCUCCUGUGGAAAGUGGCAGACGGGUGAGUAACGCGUGGGAAUUUACCCAGCUCUACGGAAUAACGCAGGGAAACUUGUGCUAAUACCGUAUACGUCCUCCGGGAGAAAGAUUUAUCGGAGUUGGAUGAGCCCGCGUUAGAUUAGUUUGUUGGUGGGGUAACGGCCUACCAAGACUACGAUCUAUAGCUGGUCUGAGAGGAUGAUCAGCCACACUGGGACUGAGACACGGCCCAGACUCCUACGGGGAGGCAGCAGUGGGGGGAAUAUUGCACAAUGGGCGCAAGCCUGAUGCAGCCAUGCCGCGUGAGUGAAGAAGGCCUUAGGGUUGUAAAACUCUUUCAUCGGUGAAGAUAAUGACGGUAGCCGAAGAAGAAGCCCCGGCUAACUCCGUGCCAGCAGCCGCGGUAAU
RNAcentral lists this ribosomal RNA (465 nucleotides) under uncultured bacterium. RNAcentral describes it as "bacterial SSU rRNA". It matches the Rfam family "Bacterial small subunit ribosomal RNA", at positions 29 to 524 of the family's 1533-position model. The record is from RNAcentral.